GACGAACGCUGGCGGCGUGCCUAAUACAUGCAAGUCGAACGAGGUGUUCUCGGGUGGUAACACCCUUGAUCACCUAGUGGCGAACGGGUGAGUAACACGUGAGGAACCUGCCCUGAAGACGGGGAUAACAGAAGGAAACUUCUGCUAAUACCCGAUGCCCCACCGCGUCGCAUGGUCUGGUGAGGAAAUGGAUUCCGCUUCAGGAGGGCCUCGCGCCUAUCAGCUUGUUGGUGGGGUAACGGCCCACCAAGGCUUGGACGGGUAGCUGGUCUGAGAGGACGAUCAGCCACACUGGGACUGAGACACGGCCCAGACUCCUACGGGAGGCAGCAGUAAGGAAUAUUGCGCAAUGGGCGAAAGCCUGACGCAGCAACGCCGCGUGCGGGAUGAAGGCCCUCGGGUUGUAAACCGCUUUCAGUAGGGAAGAAAAUGACGGUACCUACAGAAGAAGCCCCGGCCAACUACGUGCCAGCA
RNAcentral lists this ribosomal RNA (474 nucleotides) under uncultured bacterium. Its description in RNAcentral is "bacterial SSU rRNA". It matches the Rfam family "Bacterial small subunit ribosomal RNA", at positions 28 to 513 of the family's 1533-position model. The record is from RNAcentral.